AACGAACGCUGGCGGCAUGCCUAACACAUGCAAGUCGAACGAGACCUUCGGGUCUAGUGGCGCACGGGUGCGUAACGCGUGGGAAUCUGCCCUUGGGUUCGGAAUAACAGUUAGAAAUGACUGCUAAUACCGGAUAAUGUCUUCGGACCAAAGAUUUAUCGCCCAGGGAUGAGCCCGCGUAGGAUUAGCUAGUUGGUGAGGUAAAGGCUCACCAAGGCGACGAUCCUUAGCUGGUCUGAGAGGAUGAUCAGCCACACUGGGACUGAGACACGGCCUAGACUCCUACGGGAGGCAGCAGUGGGGAAUAUUGGACAAUGGGCGAAAGCCUGAUCCAGCAAUGCCGCGUGAGUGAUGAAGGCCUUAGGGUUGUAAAGCUCUUUUACCCGGGUAUGAUAAUAGACAGUACCGGGAGAAUAAGCCCCGGCUAACUCCGUGCCAG
RNAcentral lists this ribosomal RNA (439 nucleotides) under uncultured bacterium. RNAcentral describes it as "bacterial SSU rRNA". It matches the Rfam family "Bacterial small subunit ribosomal RNA", at positions 29 to 511 of the family's 1533-position model. The record is from RNAcentral.